CUUAAAUGAAUUGACGGGGGCCCGCACAAGCGGAGGAACAUGUGGUUUAAUUCGAUGAUACGCGAGGAACCUUACCUGGGCUUAAAUGGGGAGUGACAGCUGUCGAAAGAUGGUUUUCUUCGGACACUCUUCAAGGUGCUGCAUGGUUGUCGUCAGCUCGUGCCGUGAGGUGUCGGGUUAAGUCCCAUAACGAGCGCAACCCUUACCGUUAGUUACCAUCAGGUUAAGCUGGGGACUCUAGCGGGACUGCCACCGUAAGGUGAGAGGAAGGUGGGGAUGACGUCAAAUCAGCACGGCCCUUAUGUCCAGGGCUACACACGUGUUACAAUGGCCAGUACAAAGGGCAGCUACCGGGUGACCGGAUGCUAAUCUCUAAAGCUGGCCUCAGUUCGGAUCGAAGUCUGCAACCCGACUUCGUGAAGCUGGAUUCGCUAGUAAUCGCGCAUCAGCCAUGGCGCGGUGAAUACGUUCCCGGGCCUU
RNAcentral lists this ribosomal RNA (480 nucleotides) under uncultured Sphingobacteriales bacterium. Its description in RNAcentral is "bacterial SSU rRNA". It matches the Rfam family "Bacterial small subunit ribosomal RNA", at positions 900 to 1382 of the family's 1533-position model. Lineage: Bacteria; Pseudomonadati; Bacteroidota; Sphingobacteriia; Sphingobacteriales. The record is from RNAcentral.